Molecule: ribosomal RNA, 507 nt
Filed under: uncultured Glomus
Lineage: Eukaryota; Fungi; Glomeromycota; Glomeromycetes; Glomerales; Glomeraceae
Description: SSU rRNA
Rfam family: Eukaryotic small subunit ribosomal RNA
Source: RNAcentral
AGCAGCCGCGGUAAUUCCAGCUCCAAUAGCGUAUAUUAAAGUUGUUGCAGUUAAAAAGCUCGUAGUUGAAUUUCGAGAUCAAAUUGUUGGUCGUGCCUUGGUACGCACUGGCAUUAUUGGUUUCUCCCUUCUGACGAACCAUGAUGUCAUUAAUUUGGUGUCUUGGGGAAUCAGGACUGUUACUUUGAAAAAAUUAGAGUGUUUAAAGCAGGCUCACGCUUGAAUACAUUAGCAUGGAAUAAUGAAAUAGGACGUUUGAUUCUAUUUUGUUGGUUUCUAGGAUCGACGUAAUGAUUAAUAGGGAUAGUUGGGGGCAUUAGUAUUCAAUUGUCAGAGGUGAAAUUCUUGGAUUUAUUGAAGACUAACUACUGCGAAAGCAUUUGCCAAGGAUGUUUUCAUUAAUCAAGAACGAAAGUUAGGGGAUCGAAGACGAUCAGAUACCGUCGUAGUCUUAACCAUAAACUAUGCCGACUAGGAAUCGGAUGAUGUUAAUUUUUAAUGACUUAU